AACGAACGCUGGCGGCAUGCCUAACACAUGCAAGUCGAACGAGACCUUCGGGUCUAGUGGCGCACGGGUGCGUAACGCGUGGGAACCUGCCCUUAGGUUCGGAAUAACUCCCCGAAAGGGGUGCUAAUACCGGAUAAUGUCUUCGGACCAAAGAUUUAUCGCCUUUGGAUGGGCCCGCGUUGGAUUAGCUAGUUGGUAGGGUAAAAGCCUACCACGGCGACGAUCCAUAGCUGGUCUGAGGGGAUGAUCAGCCACACUGGGACUGAGACACGGCCCAGACUCCUACGGGAGGCAGCAGUGGGGAAUAGUGGACAAUGGGCGAAAGCCUGAUCCAGCAAUGCCGCGUGAGUGAUGAAGGCCUUAGGGUUGUAAAGCUCUUUUAACCGGGAUGAUAAUGACAGUACCGGGAGAAUAAGCUCCGGCUAACUCCGUG
RNAcentral lists this ribosomal RNA (433 nucleotides) under uncultured bacterium. Its description in RNAcentral is "partial 16S ribosomal RNA". It matches the Rfam family "Bacterial small subunit ribosomal RNA", at positions 29 to 507 of the family's 1533-position model. The record is from RNAcentral.